GCCAAACUGGUGUAGUGGUUUAAGUGUUGGACUAAGACUCUGGAGACCAGGGUUCAAAUCCUGUUUCGGCC
This is a non-coding RNA of Phrynosoma platyrhinos (Desert horned lizard), 71 nucleotides long. The record is from the annotation of a GenBank genome assembly. NCBI's taxonomy places the organism in Eukaryota, Metazoa, Chordata, Lepidosauria, Squamata, Phrynosomatidae.